UAGGGAAUCUUCCGCAAUGGGCGAAAGCCUGACGGAGCAACGCCGCGUGAGUGAUGAAGGUCUUCGGAUCGUAAAACUCUGUUAUUAGGGAAGAACAAAUGUGUAAGUAACUAUGCACGUCUUGACGGUACCUAAUCAGAAAGCCACGGCUAACUACGUGCCAGCAGCCGCGGUAAUACGUAGGUGGCAAGCGUUAUCCGGAAUUAUUGGGCGUAAAGCGCGCGUAGGCGGUUUUUUAAGUCUGAUGUGAAAGCCCACGGCUCAACCGUGGAGGGUCAUUGGAAACUGGAAAACUUGAGUGCGGAAGAGGAAAGUGAAAUUCAAUGUGUAUCGGUGAAAUGCGCAGAGAUAUGGAGGAACACCAGUGGCGAAGGCGACUUUCUGGUCUGUAACUGACGCUGAUGUGCGAAAGCGUGGGGAUCAAACAGG
Molecule: ribosomal RNA, 429 nt
Filed under: Actinomycetes bacterium
Lineage: Bacteria; Bacillati; Actinomycetota; Actinomycetes
Description: Actinobacteria bacterium partial 16S ribosomal RNA
Rfam family: Bacterial small subunit ribosomal RNA
Source: RNAcentral